AGGAUGAACGCUGGCGGCGUGCUUAACACAUGCAAGUCGAACGAUGAAGGCUGGAGCUUGCUCUGGCUGGAUUAGUGGCGAACGGGUGAGUAACACGUGAGUAACCUGCCCCAGACUCUGGGAUAAGCGCUGGAAACGGCGUCUAAUACCGGAUACGAGCUUCCACCGCAUGGUGAGGAGCUGGAAAGAAUUUCGGUCUGGGAUGGACUCGCGGCCUAUCAGCUUGUUGGUGAGGUAAUGGCUCACCAAGGCGACGACGGGUAGCCGGCCUGAGAGGGUGACCGGCCACACUGGGACUGAGACACGGCCCAGACUCCUACGGGAGGCAGCAGUGGGGAAUAGUUGCACAAUGGGCGCAAGGCCUGAUGCAGCAACGCCGCGUGAGGGGACGAAGGGCCGUUAC
RNAcentral lists this ribosomal RNA (403 nucleotides) under uncultured soil bacterium. RNAcentral's name for it is "bacterial SSU rRNA". It matches the Rfam family "Bacterial small subunit ribosomal RNA", at positions 26 to 422 of the family's 1533-position model. The record is from RNAcentral.